RNAcentral lists this ribosomal RNA (439 nucleotides) under uncultured bacterium. RNAcentral describes it as "partial 16S ribosomal RNA". It matches the Rfam family "Bacterial small subunit ribosomal RNA", at positions 339 to 795 of the family's 1533-position model. The record is from RNAcentral.
CUACGGGUCGCUCCAGUAGGGAAUAUUGCACAAUGGGCGAAAGCCUGAUGCAGUAACGCCGCGUGCGCGAUGAAGGCCUUCGGGUUGUAAAGCGCUUUUCUGAGGGAAGAGGAAGGACUGUACCUCAGGAAUAAGUCUCGGCUAACUACGUGCCAGCAGCCGCGGUAACGCGUAGGAGGCAAGCGUUAUCCGGAUUUACUGGGCGUAAAGCGCGUGUAGGCGGUUUGGCAAGUCGGAUGUGAAAGCUCCUGGCUCAACUGGGGAGGUCGUUCGAAACUGCCAGACUAGAGGACGGUAGAGGAAGAUGGAAUUCCCGGUGUAGUAGUGAAAUGCGUAGAUAUCGGGAGGAACACCAGUGGCGAAGGCGGUCUUCUGGGCCGUUCCUGACGCUGAGACGCGAAAGCAUGGGUAGCGAACGGGAUUAGAUACCCCCGUAGUC